AUCUUUGGAUCUAGGUUUUUCUGGAGCCGUAUUAUGAACUGCUUCGAGCACUUCAGAGAUCUUCUUCAUCAAUUCAUCAUUAGAGGUUUGGAGCUUCUGAUUGAGGUUUGAAAUCUGCUCUUCUAUUGAACCAAACUGCUCUCUAGUUUGCUCAAAGUUCCUCUCUACCUGAUCCAUUAUGCUUUCGAUGGUUUUCAGAUCCUUCUCGUGCUUGUGCAGGCUAAUUUUUGCGGUGGAAUCAAUCAUGGUUUUCGGCCCAGGGUUGCUUUGAUACCAAUUUAUCAGGAAUUCAAGGAACAAUAAAAGAAAAGUAACUGAGAUGAAAGAAAAGAAACUUGUAAGAGAUGAAAAAUAGUAAUGUUAUUCAGUUCAU
Molecule: long non-coding RNA, 373 nt
Filed under: Panax ginseng (ginseng)
Lineage: Eukaryota; Viridiplantae; Streptophyta; Magnoliopsida; Apiales; Araliaceae
Description: long non-coding RNA (PGIN_LNC017137)
Source: RNAcentral